RNAcentral lists this long non-coding RNA (1072 nucleotides) under Mus musculus (house mouse). RNAcentral's name for it is "long non-coding RNA chr11:121237256-121238328". Lineage: Eukaryota; Metazoa; Chordata; Mammalia; Rodentia; Muridae. The record is from RNAcentral.
GGCGGUGUUCCAGUCUUCCUUACUCCUCACAGCUUAGGCGCGUCGGCCUCCUGCCAGUCCCACUCCAGAUGAAGUGUGAGCACUGCACACGAAAGGUGGGUGCGUCGUCCGGCGGGGCUAGGGGCGAAAGCCAAGGCUGGAAUCGGUGGUGAGGGUCGGGCUCAGCCGGGUGCACCUUGCUCUGUUAUGUCGGCCUCUGACAGCCAUCACCUGUCUGCAGAGGACUGGGCGGCGAGCUGGCUGUUGUCCACUGCAGGCGAGUGCACCGCCGGGACUGUCCGUGGAAGCUACUGUUCUGGGGCCGGGGAUUGAUCUCAGUCCCGGCACCCUGUUGUGGAAGUGAACGAUUAAUAAAGUAAUUAGAAAUGAUGCUUUGAGCGGCUCUUCUACUUAAACAACAACAAACUUCAAUACAACGAAGUGGAGAAGGAAUAAAGGGCAGGCAGGCCCUCCUGUCCUGCUCCACUAGGUGGCUGAAGUGACUGACAGCUGCCUCACUUGCCUUCACACGUGAUGCAUGUGCAGGAAUCUCGUUUGGUUUUUUGUUUUUUUACAGGAAUUGUAUCAUAUCCAAAUACUCCAUACGUUGUUUUUUUUUUUUUUCAGAGAAUCGCCUGUAAUCUUGUGUAAUAGCCACAUCUAAAUGUUCUUAUAUAUAUUACCGUUAGAUCACUUCCUGUUCUUCAUUACUACUACAAACAAUACAAAUGGAGGGUGUGAGUGUUUAUGUGUACCCUUCUAUAAGUAUGGAUGAUUUUAUUUUGUAGAAAGGGUUUCUUAGAAGUAAGAUCGACUGCUCAGGAUAUGUUUUGGUUUUUGGCAUCACACUAAAUUAUUCUUGACUGAGCUCGGUGGUACACACCAAUGAUCCCAGUGCUUGAGAGACUGAGGCAGGAGCUCAAAGUUAGACAGUGCAAUUUAUCAAGACCCUAUCUCAUUAAAAAAAAAUAUGGUAGCACACAUCUUAAUCUGAGCACUCAGGAGGCAGAGGCAGACUUUCUGUGAAUUUGAGGUCAGCCUGGUCUACAUGGUGAGUUCCAGGACAGCCAGGACUAUGUAGAAAGACUUGAUC